Molecule: ribosomal RNA, 320 nt
Filed under: uncultured eukaryote
Lineage: Eukaryota
Description: partial 18S ribosomal RNA
Rfam family: Eukaryotic small subunit ribosomal RNA
Source: RNAcentral
CCCUUAGAUGUUCUGGGCGGCCCGCGCACUACAAUGGCGCUUUCAGCGAGUUCCUAUGUUGAAUUUUCCUGGGUAUUCUUGGAAGCGGCGUCUUGACUUGGGAUAGAUCCUUGUAAUUGUUGGUUUUGAACGAGGAAUUCCUUGUAAUCGCGGUUGAUCAGCUCGCGUUGAAUACGUCCCUGCCCUUUGUACACACCGCCCGUCGCUCCUACCGAUUGAGCGAUCCGGUAAAUGUUUUGGAUUGGUGCCGGGGCGGCUAGCUGCCGGUCGCUACGAAAUUUUGUGAACCUUAUCGCUUAGAGGAAGGAAAAGUCGUAACA